RNAcentral lists this ribosomal RNA (430 nucleotides) under bacterium. Its description in RNAcentral is "partial 16S ribosomal RNA". It matches the Rfam family "Bacterial small subunit ribosomal RNA", at positions 355 to 776 of the family's 1533-position model. The record is from RNAcentral.
UGGGGAAUAUUGGACAAUGGGCGCAAGCCUGAUCCAGCCAUGCCGCGUGUGUGAAGAAGGCCUUUUGGUUGUAAAGCACUUUAAGCGAGGAGGAGGCUACUUGGAUUAAUACUCUAGGAUAGUGGACGUUACUCGCAGAAUAAGCACCGGCUAACUCUGUGCCAGCAGCCGCGGUAAUACAGAGGGUGCGAGCGUUAAUCGGAUUUACUGGGCGUAAAGCGUGCGUAGGCGGCUUCUUAAGUCGGAUGUGAAAUCCCUGAGCUUAACUUGGGAAUUGCAUUCGAUACUGGGAAGCUAGAGUAUGGGAGAGGAUGGUAGAAUUCCAGGUGUAGCGGUGAAAUGCGUAGAGAUCUGGAGGAAUACCGAUGGCGAAGGCAGCCAUCUGGCCUAAUACUGACGCUGAGGUACGAAAGCAUGGGGAGCAAACAGG